Non-coding RNA from Cyanistes caeruleus (blue tit), 655 nucleotides. The record is from RefSeq and is a predicted model, not a curated record. Lineage: Eukaryota; Metazoa; Chordata; Aves; Passeriformes; Paridae.
CCCUCGGGGUCAGCCCUGAUGUCACCCCUUGUCUUGCAGUGCUGAGGAAUGUAAACAAGUCUGCUGGGCUCUGAGGGACUUCACCCGCCUGUUCCGAUAGCUCCGGCUCCACACGGCUCCUGUCUCCCAGGAAUGUCUUGAAGGAGAAGACAGGAAACAGCAACCCAAGAAUGUGUCCCACAAUCAGCCGAGGGCUCUCGCCCGCUCCAGCGCAUCCCGGAGUCCGGAGCCGCGGGAGGACGGCUCGGGGAUCCCGCCUGCCCGGCGGCCUCACGGCCCGGAGCUCGGCCAACAGCCCCCGGGAACACCCCCGGGAACACCCCCGGGAACACCCCCCGGGCACAGCCCCCCGGGAACACCCCCGGGAACAGCCCCCAACCCAACUGCAACCCCACCAGGCACCGGAGCCAGGCGCGUCCACUCGGAUUCGCCCGGCAGAAAAAGAAGUAGAAAAACUUCCUGUGAAACGGAGACAAAAAAGAAGGAAAAGAAACAAACGAAAAACAAACAGUAGAAAUUGUUUAGGAAGAUGGGGGGUCAGGCUGGGGGUCCUGGGGCGCCGCCCCCCUGAGCCCACCGUGGCCUGCCUGGUGCUGACUCCCAGAGACGACACAGGCGGGACGGACUCUGCAAAUAGAGAUUUAUAUUUUAUUUU